Molecule: ribosomal RNA, 163 nt
Filed under: uncultured bacterium
Lineage: Bacteria
Description: partial 16S ribosomal RNA
Rfam family: Bacterial small subunit ribosomal RNA
Source: RNAcentral
UAGGGAUCUUCCACAAUGGGCGAAAGCCUGAUGGAGCAACGCCGCGUGUGUGAUGAAGGGUUUCGGCUCGUAAAACACUGUUGUAAGAGAAGAAUGACAUUGAGAGUAACUGUUCAAUGUGUGACGGUAUCUUACCAGAAAGGAACGGCUAAAUACGUGUCAG